CAGGAACACGGCCUGCCUUCAGAACAUUCCAACGGUAACAGUCGCGAAACAUUAUUGGGAUUUUUUGCCCCUUUAACAAAUUGAAACGGACUGCUUUUCUCAGGACCAUUUGAAAUGGGCGUCUGUGGAAAAGGGAGGCAGCAGAGGGUGCGGAGUUGGGGUGAGUUUCUCCUGCAAGCAAUGAUACUGUGAAACAAUAUUUUGGAAGACAUCUUCUUCAAUUUAUUGAACAAGGUCAACCUCCAGCAGCUUAUGAUGUGGAUGAGGUCUGUUUCAUAUGUAGCAGUACCUUGAAGCCUCUUCUCUGCAACUUAUAUAGACCCAAAACAUGAAGAUUAUGGGGAUCGUGGCCUCUGAUAGUGGGUCUGAAGCUCACUUUAUGAAGAACUUCCCUCUCCUAGACUCCACAUUCUGCAUCCUUGACUGUUACAGCACAACUUGUGAAGAGGGUAUUGCAGUACAGUCCUGUUUUAUUUUGAAGACAUUGGGUAGAACAACACCGAAGCAUUUCUGUGGCUGUGGGCCAGGCCAGAUACAAGAGUGCGGUGUGAGCCUGAGUUGUGGUGUGCCUGUAACCGAAGGAUCCUAGUGAUGGAGCUGCCUACAUAUUUUUAAAUAUAUUUAAUUCUGCAUGUGUGUUGUGAUGUGCAGGUGUCACUUUCCCAUCGCUGGGACACAAUACCUGACACCCACAGCUUAAAGGGGGAGAGGUUUAUUUUGCUUUAUGGUCUCUGGCUGGCUGGCUGCAAGGCACAAAUGGCAUGGUGGAAAAGCCCAGAUGGAAGAAAGCUGCUCACUUCACGGCAAGCUGGAAGCAGAGAGAGGAGGGAGGAGUCAGGCAGGGAGGUACACCCUUCCAAUUAUGCCGUCAGUGACCUGUCCUAGCAAGGCCCCAUCUUCCAGCAGCACACUCAGCUGCAGGACUAACCAGUGGAUGAAUCCAUGGUGAUAGCACCACCAUUAUCCAAUCACCUACCUUUGGACUCCAGGGACCAUAGGGGGACAUACUAGAUCUAAACCCUAAUAACAGGGCAUGAAAACAGGAGUCUGGGAUAUCUAUGAAUGUGCUGUCUAUCUCAAGUCCAUAAAUAAUUAUCGAAUGCUUGCUACGUCCCAGGCACUCAGUUGUGGAGAAGACAUACAACACAGUUCAAAUUAUGCUCCUAUCAAACACGUUGCUUGACACAUUAGGACUGAUGCGAGCCAAGUAAGCACUUCCAUAGAUUGCACCAGUAGCAGGCAGACUGGAGAGGCACUUUGUGAAGGGUCCAAAGAUUAGUUCCCGUUGGGGAUGUCGUGGGUUAAUUUAUUUGAAAUGAACUUGAGAGGUGUUGAUAGCGUUUACGUGGAGUUGUGUCCCACACCUGUACGCCCAUCUCCACAGGAGACUGAGGCAGG
RNAcentral lists this long non-coding RNA (1398 nucleotides) under Fukomys damarensis (Damara mole-rat). RNAcentral's name for it is "lncRNA (ENSFDAG00000027089.1)". Lineage: Eukaryota; Metazoa; Chordata; Mammalia; Rodentia; Bathyergidae. The record is from RNAcentral.